RNAcentral lists this ribosomal RNA (408 nucleotides) under uncultured bacterium. RNAcentral's name for it is "bacterial SSU rRNA". It matches the Rfam family "Bacterial small subunit ribosomal RNA", at positions 28 to 437 of the family's 1533-position model. The record is from RNAcentral.
GACGAACGCUGGCGGCGUGCUUAACACAUGCAAGUCGAACGGUAACAGGCCCUUCGGGGUGCUGACGAGUGGCGGACGGGUGAGUAAUGCUUAGGAAUCUGCCUAGUAGUGGGGGAUAACCCGGGGAAACUCGGGCUAAUACCGCAUACGCCCUACGGGGGAAAGGCGGGGACGUCUCGGGCCUCGCGCUACUAGAUGAGCCUAAGUCCGAUUAGCUAGUUGGUAGGGUAAUGGCCUACCAAGGCGACGAUCGGUAGCUGGUCUGAGAGGACGACCAGCCACACUGGGACUGAGACACGGCCCAGACUCCUACGGGAGGCAGCAGUGGGGAAUAUUGGACAAUGGGCGCAAGCCUGAUCCAGCGAUGCCGCGUGUGUGAAGAAGGCCUGCGGGUUGUAAAGCACUUUC